CCUACGGGUGGCUGCAGUGGGGAAUUUUGGACAAUGGGCGCAAGCCUGAUCCAGCCAUGCCGCGUGCAGGAUGAAGGCCUUCGGGUUGUAAACUGCUUUUGUACGGAACGAAAAAGCUCUCUCUAAUACAGGGGGUGAAUGACGGUACCGUAAGAAUAAGCACCGGCUAACUACGUGCCAGCAGCCGCGGUAAUACGUAGGGGGCAAGCGUUAAUCGGAAUUACUGGGCGCGGAGAGUGCGCAGGCGGUUGAAAUCCCCGGGCUCAACCUGGGAACUGCCUUUGUGACUGCAUAGCUGGAGUGCGGCAGAGGGGGAUGGAAUUCCGCGUGUAGCAGUGAAAUGCGUAGAUAUGCGGAGGAACACCGAUGGCGAAGGCAAUCCCCUGGGCCUGCACUGACGCUCAUGCACGAAAGCGUGGGGAGCAAACAGGAUUAGAUACCCCGGUAGUC
This 450-nucleotide ribosomal RNA is filed under the name uncultured bacterium. RNAcentral describes it as "partial 16S ribosomal RNA". It matches the Rfam family "Bacterial small subunit ribosomal RNA", at positions 338 to 795 of the family's 1533-position model. The record is from RNAcentral.